GACGAACGCUGGCGGCGUGCUUAACACAUGCAAGUCGAACGGAAAGGCCCCUUUGGGGGUACUCGAGUGGCGAACGGGUGAGUAACACGUGAGUAACCUGCCCUUGACUUCGGGAUAACUUCAGGAAACUGGGGCUAAUACCGGAUAGGAAUCCUUGCUGCAUGGUGGGGGUUGGAAAGCUUCGGCGGUUUUGGAUGGACUUACGGCUUAUCAGCUUGUUGGUGGGGUAGUGGCUUACCAAGGCUUUGACGGGUAGCCGGCCUGAGAGGGCGACCGGCCACAUUGGGACUGAGAUACGGCCCAGACUCCUACGGGAGGCAGCAGUGGGGAAUAUUGCACAAUGGGCGGAAGCCUGAUGCAGCAACGCCGCGUGCGGGAUGACGGCCUUCGGGUUGUAAACCGCUUUCAGCAGGGGCGAAGCUUGUGGUGACGGUACCUGCAGAAGAAGCACCGGCUAACUACGUG
RNAcentral lists this ribosomal RNA (465 nucleotides) under uncultured bacterium. RNAcentral describes it as "partial 16S ribosomal RNA". It matches the Rfam family "Bacterial small subunit ribosomal RNA", at positions 28 to 507 of the family's 1533-position model. The record is from RNAcentral.